This 6095-nucleotide long non-coding RNA is filed under the name Vitis vinifera (wine grape). Its description in RNAcentral is "long non-coding RNA (VVIN_LNC004029)". Lineage: Eukaryota; Viridiplantae; Streptophyta; Magnoliopsida; Vitales; Vitaceae. The record is from RNAcentral.
CGCGGUCAUUCCUCAUGAGGACGUAGUCGUGGCUAAGCGCGAUAAUCGCCGCGGCGGCUGAGCAGUGGCCAGAGAUGGCGGCGAUAGUCGGCAUCGGAAGGGAAAUCAGAUCGGCGACGAGUGAUCUAAGCUUUGAAGACAUGAGCUUGGACCGAUCGAGGAAGACGCCGGAAGCGGAGGCCCACGCGAGAUCGUAGCCAUUGGAGAAGAACUUGCCCUCGGCGGUCGUGAUGAGAGCAAAUGACAUUGAACUCUCGGCUCUUACUCGGCUUAGAGCGGCUGAAAUGGCAUCGAGUAGGGUGGGAUUUAGCCGGUGCUCGCCGGGGCCGGUGAGCGUGAGGAUGAAGAUGUUGCCGCGCUUCUCCAAACUGCACAUCGCUCUCCCUCACUGAUGCUCGAAGAGUAAAGCCAUAGAGAGCCUCUUCUUCAUUUCAAGGAUGGAAAUCCUACCUCGUAAAGUCCGAUAAACUUAACUUAUUUCAAUCAAUAUCAAGAUAAAAGUUAAAAGUUAAAAGAAAUAAAAUAACAAAUAUAUUUUUAAUAAAUUAUUUUUAUAAAUAUUAUAUAAAAAAAAUUAUUAAUAUUUUCAAUUGUUACUCAAAAUGUUUUUUAAAAAGUAAUUUUAAAAUAUUUGUAUUUUUUCAAAAAUAACAUAAUUUUUAAAUAAACCAUUAAAAAAUAGAGGAUGAAAAUCCUAGUAAAGUCUGAUAAACUUAACUUAUUUGAAUCAAUAUCAAGAUAAAAGUUAAAAGUUAAAAGAAAUAAAAUAACAAAUAUAUUUUUAAUAAAUCAUUUUUAUAAAUAUUAUAUAAAAAAAAAAUUAUUAAUAUUUUCAAUUGUUACUCAAAAUGUUUUUUAAAAAAUAAUUUUAAAAUAUUUGUAUUUUUUCAAAAAUAGCAUAUUUUUAAAAUAAACCAUUAAAAAAUAGAGGAUGGAAAUCCUACCUUGUAAAGUCCGAUAAACUUAACUUAUUUGAAUCAAUAUCAAGAUAAAAGUUAAAAGUUAAAAGAAAUAAAAUAACAAAUAUAUUUUUAAUAAAUUAUUUUUAUAAAUAUUAUAUAAAAAAAAUUAUUAAUAUUUUCAAUUGUUACUCAAAAUGUUUUUUAAAAAAUAAUUUUAAAAUAUUUGUAUUUUUUCAAAAAUAGCAUAUUUUUAAAAUAAACCAUUAAAAAAUAGAGGAUGGAAAUCCUACCUUGUAAAGUCCGAUAAACUUAACUUAUUUGAAUCAAUAUCAAGAUAAAAGUUAAAAGUUAAAAGAAAUAAAAUAACAAAUAUAUUUUUAAUAAAUUAUUUUUAUAAAUAUUAUAUAUAAAAAAUUAUUAAUAUUUUCAAUUGUUACUCAAAAUGUUUUUUAAAAAAUAAUUUUAAAAUAUUUGUAUUUUUUCAAAAAUAGCAUAUUUUUAAAAUAAACCAUUAAAAACUAUUUUUUAUUAAAAGUUAGUUCAACGUUUUCUGAGAGUUUCGAAAAUCAUUUUUUGUGCUUUACUCUUUUAAAGAAGAGUCUCAAAACUAUCAAAAUAACCUUAGUGGGCUGCUCAUUAGCUGAAAUGGGCCGAGUUGAGGACAAUGGCUUGAUUUGGGCUUCAACAUCCUGGACGUGGCUCUCAUGUUAAUUGUUCUUAAACCCAAAUCACAUAAUAUCUAACAUGGGAGAGAGAGAGAGAUGGGAGGAAGGGAGUCCUUACAGUUUGCAUGUGGUGACCUCACUCGAGCAUAUUGCUCCAUCGGGAUUGAUGACGACGUCGAACAUCCAGAUCAUAUUUCUUCUUUAUAAUGCACAUUGUUGUUUACGGUUAAUAUAUGCGUUGUUUGUUUUAUUGUUCCAUAUGUUUUUUUAAUCAAUCUCCAUUUUUUUUUUAUGAAAAAAUUUGGAAAUCUUCCGUGGAUAUUUCAACCACUAUCCAUGUUGUCAACAAUGAUAGUAUUCUUCAAUGGUCAUCAGUUCGAGUCCCCUCAGGGCCACUGAAGGUUUACCUGAUCAUUAACUUCAAGGUCCCAUGAGAUUAGUCGAGGUACACGUAAGUUGGUCUGGAUAUUCACAGUUAUAAAAUAAAAAAUGAUAGUGUUCUCCGCCAACUCCUCAGUUCUAACCAGGCUGUCCUCAUGGUCUCGUCCGCGCUAUCAUGUGCCCAGUCGAUGAUCCCAAAGCCAGCGCAUGUAUUUUCAAUUCCUUCAUCUUCAUGUGUCCUUUUUUAUUUUUUACUUUUGCAUGAAAUUUUGAAGUUACAACAAGAAAGCAUCCACCCAAAUUUAAGCCAUCUACACAUGCAUACACAUUGAGUUUCCAGAACUAGAAAAGUACACUGCAAUUUUUCAAUGGUUGUAGAGAAAUUAGUCUCUUCAUGUCACCAAUCUGAGGCAGGCAUACACAAUGUGAAUACAUGAUAAAAGCAUAAGUUUUAUCUUUUAGCACUACAAGCACCCGAACAUAAGUGAUUCCUAGUAAUAAGCAAGGCCCAAGAAGAAAGAAAGAAGGAAAAUUGUAUCUAAGAACAAGUGAGAAAUGGAACAGACAAAAGAACAUAAUCAUCACUAAGAGCACACUUUUCAAACAAGAACCGCAACGUGUAACUAUAACAAAGAUUUAAUUAACUGGCAUGCGCUAGAAUUCGUAGUUUUUACUCUGAGAUUUUCCCCUUUCGCCAUCUGUCCUUUCUAUUUUUACCAUUUUCAAAUAUUUGGAAGGUAAAUCGGAUAUUUAAUUAUCAAAGACAAUAUUUUUUUUUUUAAGACAAAAUCUACUUAUUGUUUAUUUUUCAAAUUUAUAUGAUUUUAGAAUUAAAGUUUUUAAAAUUAGGUUCCUGAAUAUAAAUUUAGGAUUUGUUUGAUAACUGGUUUUCAAAUUUGUUCUUUUUAUAUUUUGUAAAUCAAAAAUCUAUUUAAAAACUUAAAAUAUUUUUUAACAUUAUUCUAAUAUUUAAAAUAUAUUUUAAUUUUUUUUAUAUCUAAUAUUUUAUUUGUAAUCAUUCUUUUUUAUAAUUAUUUUUUAAAACAACCCUUAAAAAACAAAUAUAAACAAAAAACAAGUAAAAAUAAAGAAAAUAAUUCAAAAAUAUAUUUUUUAAACACUUUUGUUUUCUGUUAUUAAAAAUAUAAAACAGAAAACAAUUUUUUUGUUGUCAAAUAUAUUUUUAUUUAUUAUAAAUAAUAAUAAAAAUAUUUUUAAAAAAUAAUUACCAAACAUACUUUUGUUUUUUUUGUCUUUUCAUUAUCUCAUAUUGGCAUAAUUAAGUAUAAUUUCAAUUGUCCCGUUAGUGAUGCUUAAAGUUUAUAAUGCCACGAAUGAGUCUAAAAUUAAAGUAUGUUUGAAAGUAAUUGUUUAAAAUAUUUUUAUAUUUUUAGAAUUGAAAAAAAAAACAAAUUCAAAAAACAUGUUUAACAGAUAAAGACAAAUAUAUAUAUACAAUUUUUGUAUACUUAAUUUCAUUCACUCCUCUUACAAUUUUUCUUGGAUGUUUUAUUAAUUUGAAAUUUUGUUAUUUUUUAUUUGUUAUUUUUUCUAUUUUUUUUCAUCUAAUUCAAAAUAAUAGAGAUAUUUGAUCAGAUUUCAAGUAAAAAAAAAAAAAGUAUUUAACCAAAAAAACUAGGCGGAAUGGAGUGAAAUUAAUCUAAUUUUUCGUAAAAUCAUUCUAAAAACUAACUAGUUUUUAAACCAAUAUUUAAAUAUUUUUAAACAUUUUUUUAUUAAGAGCGAUGAUAAAAAAUACAAAGAAAUAUUGUAAAACUUGAGUGUUUAUUAAUUCAAUAAAUAAAAAAUCUAAAAAUUUAUUUAUUUUUCAAAUGAACAAAAUUUUAAUUUUGAAAAAUAAUUGAAAAUAAUUAAAAAAAAACAUUAUUGGUAAUUUUCAAAAGGGUUUCAAGCUUCCAAUGCAAAUUCCUUUUCUAUUUUAAACAAACAAACACUUGAUUGAAAAUCAAAGCAAAACAAAAAGGAAUCUUAGGUUAACUUUCUCCUCAUUUGACCAACAUACAUUUUUCUCCAAAGAGUGGAGGAGAGAAUAUUGGGAAUUUAUUAUAAUUCCAUUAAUUAAUGUGACAUUUAUUAUAAUUUACUUGGAAUUUAUUUUUUCUAUUGUGUCCUCCAUCGUCCCUUUUCAUUCCAAAUUAGACUUGUCUUUUCCUAAAAGUAUUCCUUUGAUCUUCAUGCUAACUAUACAUUGAAAAUUGAUGACAUUAAAAGCCAAAAAAUCCAAUCCAUAGAAUCCACUAAUUUGUAAAUAAUCAAGCAAUUUGUCAUUUCUAACCCUUGGCGCCAACAAAGUUACAGUUAAAAGGUAACUCCUUUUUAUCUUGUUGGAAUCAAACAAUGGAGGUUUGUCCAAAUUUCCCAUCUUACUUUUUAAUGUUCCUCUCCAAAUUUCAAAAGCAGCAGUGAUUCCCACCACUUUUUAUUUAUUUAUUUUAUUUUAUUUUAUGAUUUUCAAUAAUAUUAGUUUUGAAUGACAUUUUUUUUUCCAAUAUUUUGAAAAUAUUGAAAACAAAAACCUCAUCCGUACUCGAGGUUUGCUUUUCCUCCUAUGUUUAUUUUUAUUUAAUUUUAAAUAUAACUUAAAAUUGAAUAAUAAUUAACAGUGUUAAAUAGAAAAAAAUUGAUAUGUUAUUUUUUUAUUAAAAAAAUUAAAUAUUUUGAUAUUUUUUAUCCAAUAAAAAAUUUAUAAUAAAUCAUAAAAUAAAAUAUAAAAAUAAAUAAUUUAAAAUAAAAAUAAAUUAUUUUUAAUAAAAAAUAAACACCCUCUUAGCCUAAAGUUGGGAAAGAACAUAACAUAUUUUCUUAUUAAAUAUUAGUUCUUUUUAAUUAUUAUGAAAAAUGUUGGAAAUUGACCAAAAUAUCCAGGAGAAUUCUAUGAAGGAGGGAUUAUUUUGGACCAUGUGGUAGAUAGGACAGUGACAAUUCAUUUUAAUAGGUUUUAUUUAAUUUGUAUCAUUAUAGCUUGUAUACGUGUCAAUAUCCCAUUAGACAACAUGUGAAGGUAUAAUACCGAAAAGUUGCUUUUAGGUACCAUGGUUUGACCCAAAUAUUGAUGUUUCCAUUUUAUAAAAUUUUUUUGACAAACAUAAAAAAUAUAUAAAAAAAUAAAAAAUAAUAAUACAUGUUAAAGAGCAUUAUAUAUAUAAAUCAAAAUCUUACGAGUUUAAAUUUUUUAAAAAAUUGACGAUUUUAACAAAAAUCUCUUUGGAAAUUGCAUUUUUUAAUUACAAAAAAAAUAUCAAGUUUUAAAUAAUUUGCAUUUGAAUUUCCUUUCUUGAAAAAAUAAAGCCAAAAAUUCAGAACUAAAUCAAACCAAUCCUACAGCCAAAAUUAGAAUAAAAAUCCUUUAUACCAUAUAAUCCAAUAUAUGUUUUUGGGGAUUUUGAAUUUGCCUUAUUGAUAAUUAGAGUUUUCUUAAGGCCAAUAGAGUUUUUGUCCAUGGUUAUAGCCUAUAGCCGUGUGCGAGUGUGACUCACUUCUCCUACGGAUUCAUCACAUCCAAUCUUAUCAAACACAUCAGCUAACAUGCGCAUCCGUAUCUGAGCGUACACGUGUCCAUCCCAUUUCCUCCCAACCAACUCCUCUCCUAAUCGGAUGGCCGCCCUCACAGCCUCCUCCGUGCUAUCGUGCGCCGAGUCGAUAAUACCCCAAUUCAGAGCAUCAUGAGCCGUCAAUUUAGCGGCUCGAAGCAUGAGCUCGCGUUGAGACCUCGGCGCUCCGAUCUUGCUUCGAAUGAACGCUACGAACCAAUCGGGAAUCUUGAGCCCGAUGUCGAGCUCGGACAUGUAGAUAAAGCCGCGGUCAUUCCUCAUGAGGACGUAGUCGUGGCUAAGCGCGAGAAUCGCCGCGGCGGCUGAGCAGUGGCCAGAGAUGGCGGCGAUAGUCGGCAUCGGAAGGGAAAGCAGAUCGGCGACGAGUGAUCUGAGCUUUGAAGACAUGAGCUUGACCCGAUCGAGGAAGACGCCGCCGGAAGCGGAGGCCCACGCGAGAUCGUAGCCGUUGGAGAAGAACUUGCCCUCGGCGGUCGUGAUGAGAGCAGAUGACAUUGAACUCUCGGCUCUUACUCGGCUUAGGGCGGCUGAAAUGGCAUCGAGUAGGGUGGGAUUUAGCCGGUGCUCGCCGGGGC